CCUACGGGAGGCAGCAGUGAGGAAUAUUGGUCAAUGGGCUAAAGCCUGAACCAGCCAAGUCGCGUGAGGGAAGACGGUCCUAUGGAUUGUAAACCUCUUUUGUCGGGGAGCAACGAGGCCACGUGUGGCCGAAGUGAGAGUACCCGAAGAAAAAGCAUCGGCUAACUCCGUGCCAGCAGCCGCGGUAAUACGGAGGAUGCGAGCGUUAUCCGGAUUUAUUGGGUUUAAAGGGAGCGUAGGCGGGUUGUUAAGUCAGUUGUGAAAGUUUGCGGCUCAACCGUAAAAUUGCAGUUGAUACUGGCAUCCUUGAGUACAGUAGAGGUAGGCGGAAUUCGUGGUGUAGCGGUGAAAUGCUUAGAUAUCAUGAAGAACUCCGAUUGCGAAGGCAGCCUGCUGGACUGUAACUGACGCUGAUGCUCGAAAGUGUGGGUAUCAAACAGGAUUAGAUACCCCUGUAGUC
RNAcentral lists this ribosomal RNA (460 nucleotides) under uncultured bacterium. RNAcentral's name for it is "partial 16S ribosomal RNA". It matches the Rfam family "Bacterial small subunit ribosomal RNA", at positions 338 to 795 of the family's 1533-position model. The record is from RNAcentral.